Molecule: ribosomal RNA, 468 nt
Filed under: uncultured bacterium
Lineage: Bacteria
Description: partial 16S ribosomal RNA
Rfam family: Bacterial small subunit ribosomal RNA
Source: RNAcentral
GACGAACGCUGGCGGCGUGCUUAACACAUGCAAGUCGAACGGAAAGGCCCUGCUUUUGUGGGGUGCUCGAGUGGCGAACGGGUGAGUAACACGUGAGUAACCUGCCCUUGACUUUGGGAUAACUUCAGGAAACUGGGGCUAAUACCGGAUAGGAGCUCCUGCUGCAUGGUGGGGGUUGGAAAGUUUCGGCGGUUGGGGAUGGACUCGCGGCUUAUCAGCUUGUUGGUGGGGUAGUGGCUUACCAAGGCUUUGACGGGUAGCCGGCCUGAGAGGGUGACCGGCCACAUUGGGACUGAGAUACGGCCCAGACUCCUACGGGGGGCAGCAGUGGGGAAUAUUGCACAAUGGGCGGAGGCCUGAUGCAGCAACGCCGCGUGGGGGAUGACGGCCUUCGGGUUGUAAACCGCUUUCGCCUGUGACGAAGCGUGAGUGACGGUAAUGGGUAAAGAAGCACCGGCUAACUACGUG